This 204-nucleotide long non-coding RNA is filed under the name Brassica napus (rape). Its description in RNAcentral is "long non-coding RNA (BNAP_LNC020140)". The record is from RNAcentral. Lineage: Eukaryota; Viridiplantae; Streptophyta; Magnoliopsida; Brassicales; Brassicaceae.
AUUCAUGCACCCUAAUUGAACUCAAAAUUUUAUCAUAUUCCUAACAUUGUUAUAUUCCUAACAUUGUUAUUUGAACCUAAAAAAAAAUAACAAAAUCCAAACCAAACUUAAAUUCAUAAAUAAACCGAACUAUUACUAUAUUUUUUGAAUCAAAAACCACAACAGAACCGAUGCCAAACCGAAAAUAAAAAAAAUAUAACCUGG